UUCGUGGUGCGUUCGGAUUAUUCUCGCGCUGUUUCGUUUCACUGAAAAUAUUUCGUGCUGCUACCGGCUGACAGACUUUGGUUUCGGCCUUGUUGUUUUGACUAGUUGAAAUGCCUUCUCGGAGCGAAUUCAGUUGACUUCGGGGGAAAGAAGGGACCGCGUUGAAGCUUUCGCUGGAUGAGCACUCCUUUCAAGCCCGAAAAUGUGCGGAGCGCCUCUUGGCCUAUCAGACAAGGAAACAUCUGUACACAAUUGGCAAGGCACCAUCUACAUGGCACGCCUUCUGAAGAAGCUACCACAAGUCAUACAACAAGCAUUAUAAGGACUGCUAUGCAACGACAGGAUAACUAUACCCCCAAAAGUCCACUUUGCAAGAACAGUGAAACAUUUGAACAUCUACUACAGUUCAGAUGAGGCAGAUGCACCCAAGAACGAUGAGAUAACAGUCCUGCUGUGGAUCUAACCUCCAGGCCCAGUGACGACAAAGGAUGCGUGGCUUUCAUUUUUGGGGGCCCAUUUUCUCCGUAUAUUACUGAAGAACAUCUUUAACUCAUGCAUAGCCAAGUAGUUCAGCACCUUCAUGAAGGUGUAAAAUUCAUGGAAAGGGCAACUUGAGAGAGCUCAAGACUGACCAUUAUCUAAGGUCCUACCAUGAAGUGGCACCAGUUUGACAAACUAAUAAACUUGUGUUUACUGGUCGGU
Rhipicephalus sanguineus (brown dog tick) is the source of this 702-nucleotide long non-coding RNA. RefSeq lists it as uncharacterized. Lineage: Eukaryota; Metazoa; Arthropoda; Arachnida; Ixodida; Ixodidae. The transcript is spliced from 4 exons. The record is from RefSeq and is a predicted model, not a curated record.